RNAcentral lists this ribosomal RNA (253 nucleotides) under uncultured bacterium. RNAcentral's name for it is "partial 16S ribosomal RNA". It matches the Rfam family "Bacterial small subunit ribosomal RNA", at positions 524 to 776 of the family's 1533-position model. The record is from RNAcentral.
UACGUAGGCAGCGAGCGUUGUUCGGAGUUACUGGGCGUAAAGGGUGUGUAGGCGGUUCUCUAAGUUUGGUGUGAAAUCUCCCGGCUCAACCGGGAGGGUGCGCCGAAAACUGGGGGACUCGAGUGCGGGAUGGGAGAGUAGAAUUCCCGGUGUAGCGGUGAAAUGCGCAGAUAUCGGGAAGAACACCCGUGGCGAAGGCGGCACUCUGGGACGGUACUGACGCUGAGACGCGAAAGCGUGGGGAGCGAACAGG